UUUUUUUCUAGUGACAAGAGACGGAGACCCUGUCCAAUGAGAGCGAAUCAUGAAUAAUAUACAGGAAGCGCAGCUGUGUGUUAAAAAUAGCAGAAGAACGGUUCAGGUUUGCUGUUUGGACUGUAAUGGAUCUGAAAUGAUCUGCAGAAAGAGUGCCGGGCUCUAGUCCCACGCUUGGGCUGGCUGUCUGGGCUUGGACUUCAUAGCCCCGGGGGGAUGGAGUUGGACGGGGGAAAUGGAUACAACAGUGAGGGGGAGGAGGGAGCUGCCGCGAUGCUGUGGACGAUAGACGAGGCCGUGCAGCGGCAGACCCUCCAGAUCGGGGCGUCGGCAUGUGGGGCUACUGCUGUAGUGGACGUGCUGCAGGUCCUGGGGAUCAGCGUGACGGCCGAGGACGCGGACCGCUGCGUCCAGACACGCCUGCGUCAAAACGAGGCCCCUCUCCCGGAGUAUCUGCUCUCCCGGAGCCAGGCUGGGGCCACACACCAGCAGCUGGUGGAGGGUGCGGAGAGGGCAAGUGGUGGACGGGUGCUGGGCCGGUUUUUCCCACUCCACCCAUCCCGGCAGCUGGCUCUGGUACCCUGGCUGGCCUCAUGGAUCCGGAAGGGUGCUGUUCCUGUUGCCACCAUGAACAUGCAGCUGGCAGUGCCCGAGGGUGAGGAGGUGCCUGAUGCCUGGCACCACCAACUCAUCUUUGGCGUCACACCCAGUGCCGUUUACAUGACAAACCCCCUGGAUGUGGUGAGCGCUCAGGUGGUGCAGCAGCGUCUGUGCAGUGAUUCGGUGCUGUUGGUGAGGAGAGAGGAUGUCCUGCAGAGGCUGACAGCUGAUACACCGGUCUCGGUAUUGCCUCAGGGACACACUGACCCCUGCUGGGACAUUCUAGACGUGGCAGGCCAGGUAAGGCAGAUGGUGCGUGAGGAAGAGAAUGACCCCAGAAUGACGCACAUUGUGAUCCCAGCAGCAUACAAGUCAGGAGUCACUCUGUUUGCCCUGAAAGACACCGCCCUUGGACAGGAGCUUCUCCUCGCCCCCGAUCUGCCCCUGCUGCAUUCGGACACCCUCAGAGUCUGCGCUUAGAGGCUACACUGAACCCCUCUGCAACCUCUGUACUGCUUCUCAUGAGCCAUGGAGAGGAAGGAGCAUGCAGGCAGAAGACUGUACUAGAUUUUAAUUGAUUAAUGUGCUGGAAAACCAGAACACGCCCUUGAUCACCUGUUAUGAGUUGAUGAAGCACCGGGGAUCAAUGGGCAGGGGGAUGCUUGUCUGUUCUUAGAGAGUUACCCCGCAGAAGACUCAAACUGAAAAAUGUGAUACCAGACUUCCUCGCUUCUCACACAGCCUCCUUUCACCCUGAUCAGAUUGUAUUACUGGAGCUCUCCAUCCCAACUCUUGACCAUCUUAAAUAACGUGCAAUAAGGCUUAAUUAUGCUUCACUCCCAUACUUCCUCUGGUUUGAUUUCUCUUAAUCUCAGAUACAGAUUGUGAAUAGAUUAAAUGAAAAGACUUGAAACACUGUCAUCUUUAUUUCUUUAUUUGUAUAGUGCCUUUCAUGCCAAAGCAAUCCUAAAGUUCUCUGAAUACAAUGAAAGAAAAUGUCAAUAAGAUUUACAAAAAUCAUAAUUGAAAUCUUGAUAGAAAUACAAAAUACUACAAAUUAAAUAUGACAAUAGUGUUAAAAUGAAAGUUAAUGAGAAAAGGUUGACUUAUAAAAAAAAUCAUGAAGGUUAUUCUCAAAUUUGUAAAUACCACAUUUUGCAGAGAUCUGUUGAAUUAAGGUUAAAUAUCACCCUGCAACUCACAACUGGCAACCCCCUGAAACUAAGAUGGUGUGAGUCUGGUCAGUACCUGGAUGGGAGACCUCCUGGGAAAAACCAAGGUUGCUGCUGGAAGAGGUGUUAGUGGGGCCAGCAGGUGGCGCUCACCCUGUGGUCUGUGUGGGUCUGAAUGCCCUAGUAUAGUGACAGGGACACUAUACUGUAAACAGGCGCCGUCCUUCAGAUGAGACAUAAAACCGAGGUCCUGACUCUCUGUGGUCAUUAAAAAUCCCAGGGUGUUUCUCGAAAAGAGUAGGGGUGUAACCCCGGCGUCCUGGCCAAAUUUCCCAUUGGCCCUUAUCAAUCAUGGCCUCCUAAUAAUCCCCCUCUAUGAAUUGGCUACAUUACUCUGCUCUCCUCCCCACUGAUAGCUGAUGUGUGGUGAGCAUUCUGGCGCACUAUGGCUGCCGUUGCAUCAUCCAGGUGGAUGCUGCACAUUGGUGGUGGUGGAGGGGAGUCCCCAUUACCUGUAAACCACUUUGAGUGGAGCGUCCAGAAAAGUGCUAUAUAA
RNAcentral lists this long non-coding RNA (2328 nucleotides) under Lepisosteus oculatus (spotted gar). RNAcentral's name for it is "lncRNA (ENSLOCG00000021951.1)". Lineage: Eukaryota; Metazoa; Chordata; Actinopteri; Semionotiformes; Lepisosteidae. The record is from RNAcentral.